This 1911-nucleotide long non-coding RNA is filed under the name Strongylocentrotus purpuratus (purple sea urchin). RNAcentral's name for it is "uncharacterized LOC115920067". Lineage: Eukaryota; Metazoa; Echinodermata; Echinoidea; Camarodonta; Strongylocentrotidae. The record is from RNAcentral.
GAUAUUUGGUAUUUAAGUGAGCUGAACUUCUGAAGGCGCAAAAAAGUCCUCCUCUACCAUAGCAUUCAUAAUAAUCUCUUCGAGUUGUUUGAUUGUAUGAUACAAAAUUAAGAAUGACAGAUUCAGCAUUUAGAAUGCGCUUCAAUCCGAGGAACCAACCCAAGCAUAGAAACCAGUGCUGUACCCUUUAACUCAUCAAGGUAGUAAGAACACGUUUAAGUGAAAUAAACUUCCUCAUGUAAAUAUAUCCUUGUAUAUGUAGUUCAUGGCUUUUUUAGAAUCUUGUUCAAACAAUCAUUAAAUUCAGGAGUACCUCCCUCAUAAACCCCUCGUAAAAUCUUUCGCUUUUCAAAGUUUGAGGCGCUGUAUCGAUUCGAUGCAGCUUUCGGAGUGUCCUACCGGAUUCUCUGUCCAUCCUGUUGAAUCGGCUCAAUACAGAAGUAGUUAAAUCACACGGAAUAUACCUGGUGGAUUUUAGAGGUUGUAUGGUCAGUUGGAAAGGCCUCCGCACUACUGACUCGGAUUCGAGUCCCUUAGACACCAACAGUGGUCAGAUAUGCGUACACGGGCCCCCAGGGAAUAUCCUUAAAGUUUGAACGCGUUCUGAAUGUACACAUUUGAAUUACAAACAUUACAAACGCUAUUAAAAAGAGUGUAGUUUAAAUUUUAUCUUUUAUGAAAAAGAAAAAUAUUAUUUAAAAAAUUAACCGAAACGCCCUUUCCUAACUUUCAAGAAAACUUGAACAAUUUCGAUAAAUAUUCCGCUAAGAUAUUCUCUUGAUAAAUUGUUAUUUUCCCCAUAGUUACAAAUCUUUCAGAAUUUAUCGGAUAUUCACUUGAAUGGUUAAUGAUAUGCUAUAUUGUUUUGCAAUAACGACCGCAUUUUCAUCAAAAAAUUACUAAAAACCUAUUUCACACAAAUAAUUGUGAAAUAUCAAGCCCUCGGAUUUCACUGAGUCCGGAACCCCCAAAUUUAGAAUUUUAGGGGGCGUAAGUACAUCGACCUUGAAAUUGAAAUCCAUGUGCAGAAAGUGAGUUUAGAACCCUGGAUAAACGGAUAUUGAUUAAAUAUUCAACUUACUGAACAUUACAUUUAAUAACUGAACUGUUAAUGAUUGUCAUUAGGUACAUAAAUGAGUAUAUUAAGAACUGUCCGUAAUGACUUUAUUAUCCACACACCCUCAAAAAAAGUAGAAGAAAAAAAAAGAAUUGUUGAGGUUAUAUUACCCGCCCUCCCAGCGCAUACAAUCAUUUUUGAUUGAAUUCCUAAGAACUGGAUUUACUCGAGUACCUCAAAAUGGUUAGCGAGUCAUUAAGACAAUGGUAAAUGUUACUAGCUGAAGAAGAGGCGGGUUCUUAAAACCGGUGCAAAUAUUUGACUUGCGGACCCCGAGAUUUGGGAUGAGGGUCAUUUAUACCCUUCAAACUGGAUCUGAGAUUCCAGAAGAAUAGAGGCGUUAAGGAGUGGGAUUCUACAUUAACUGGUCGUCUGUUUGCCUACAGUCGGUAUCUUCAAACAUUAUUAGCAGAGAUCACGCUAAAGCUACAUACUGACGGUUUAAAGCAGAAAUCUGACCUCAAAUUUUGUUAUUUUUUAAAUUGAUAUAUAUUAAGUAUGCAAACUUCGAGAAAUGGAUAAAAAGUUUGAAAACAAUGAGACAAGCUAUAAGAAAAUUAUUUAUUUUCAAUGAUAUGAAUUGAAUUGUGACAAAUUGGCUAUUAGAUCAAGAGUUUGAAAGGCCCGAUAUAAUGUAUCACUAUUGACCAGUUAGCCUUUUCAGUAAGCCUACCACAAGGUGUCACCGAAAGCCUAAAAUGGGAAUAUUCACCUGUUGUUUUGGAGAGAAAAAAUUAUCACCGAUGUGCCAUCCCUCUUAGUCAUAUCUGCCUACCGAUCUUCAUAUCAUUAAA